Molecule: ribosomal RNA, 660 nt
Filed under: uncultured bacterium
Lineage: Bacteria
Description: bacterial SSU rRNA
Rfam family: Bacterial small subunit ribosomal RNA
Source: RNAcentral
AGUGGCGGACGGGUGAGUAACGCGUGAGAAUCUGCCUUCAGGUCGGGGACAACAGAGGGAAACUUCUGCUAAUCCCGGAUGAGCCUUAGGGUAAAAAAUUUAUUGCCUGGAGAUGAGCUCGCGUCUGAUUAGCUAGUUGGUAAGGUAAAAGCUUACCAAGGCAACGAUCAGUAGCUGGCUGAGAGGAUGAGCAGCCACACUGGGACUGAGACACGGCCCAGACUCCUACGGGAGGCAGCAGUGGGGAAUUUUCCGCAAUGGGCGAAAGCCUGACGGAGCAAGACCGCGUGGGGGAGGAAGGCUCUAGGGUUGUAAACCCCUUUUCUUUGGGAAGAACAAAAUGACGGUACCAAAGGAAUCAGCCUCGGCUAACUCCGUGCCAGCAGCCGCGGUAAUACGGAGGAGGCAAGCGUUAUCCGGAAUGAUUGGGCGUAAAGCGUCCGCAGGUGGCAAUGUAAGUCUGCUGUCAAAACCCAGGGCUCAACUCUGGUCAGGCAGUGGAAACUACAUAGCUAGAGUUCGGUAGGGGCAAAGGGAAUUCCCGGUGUAGCGGUGAAAUGCGUAGAGAUCGGGAAGAACAUCGGUGGCGAAAGCGCUUUGCUAGACCGAAACUGACACUCAGGGACGAAAGCUAGGGGAGCGAAUGGGAUUAGAUACCCC